This 1558-nucleotide ribosomal RNA is filed under the name Planctomycetota bacterium. RNAcentral describes it as "bacterial SSU rRNA". It matches the Rfam family "Bacterial small subunit ribosomal RNA". The record is from RNAcentral. Lineage: Bacteria; Pseudomonadati; Planctomycetota.
AAGUGAAGGGUUUGAUCCUGGCUCAGAGCGAACGCUAGCGGCGUGGAUUAGGCAUGCAAGUCGAGCGCGAGUUCCCCGCAAGGGGAACUCGAGCGGCAAAAGGGUGAGUAAUACAUGGCCAACCUACCCUCCAGGCCGGAAUAACCACGGGAAACUGUGGCUAAUGCCGGAUGGCCUCGCGGGGGCAAUGCUCCUGCGAGUAAAGGUAGGCCGCAAGGCCCUCCGCUGAAGGAAGGGGCCAUGGGCUAUCAGCUAGUUGGCGGGGUAACGGCCCACCAAGGCGAAGACGGCUAGGCGGUCUGAGAGGACGACCGCCCACAUCGGGACUGAGACACUGCCCGGACUCCUACGGGAGGCUGCAGUCGAGAAUCUUCCGCAAUGGGCGAAAGCCUGACGGAGCGACGCCGCGUGAGGGACGAAAGCCUUAGGGUUGUAAACCUCUUUCGCCCGUUCAGAAUGUCUGUGGGUUAACAGCCCACAGAUUGACAAAGGCGGGUAAAGAAGCACCGGCUAACUACGUGCCAGCAGCCGCGGUAACACGUAGGGUGCAAGCGUUGCUCGGAAUCACUGGGCGUAAAGGGCGUGUAGGCGGCUGUGCAAGUCGCGUGUGAAAGCCCCCGGCUUAACCGGGGAAUUGCGCGCGAAACUGUGCGGCUCGAGGACGGUAGGGGACAGUGGAACUCCAGGUGGAGCGGUGAAAUGCGUAGAGAUCUGGAGGAACGCCGGAGGCGAAAGCGACUGUCUGGGCCGAUCCUGACGCUGAGGCGCGAAAGCUAGGGGAGCAAACGGGAUUAGAUACCCCGGUAGUCCUAGCCGUAAACGAUGGGCACUAGCUUGGGGAGACUUCGGUCUUCCCUUGCGGAGCUAACGCGUUAAGUGCCCCGCCUGGGGAGUAUGCGCGCAAGCGUAAAACUCAAAGGAAUUGACGGGGGCUCACACAAGCGGUGGAACAUGUGGUUCAAUUCGAAGCAACGCGAAGAACCUUACCCGGGUUUGACAUGCACGGAUUAGUCUCCCGAAACGGAGAUGACGCUCUUCGGAGUGGAACGUGCACAGGUGUUGCAUGGCUGUCGUCAGCUCGUGUCGUGAGAUGUCGGGUUAAGUCCCUGAACGAGCGAAACCCUUGCCGCUAGUUGCCAGCACGUAAUGGUGGGAACUCUAGCGGGACUGCCGUGGUUAACACGGAGGAAGGUGGGGAUGACGUCAAGUCAUCAUGGCCCUUAUGCCCGGGGCUACACACGUGUUACAAUGGUGGGUACAAAGGGUUCCGAGGCCGCAAGGCGGAGGUAAUCCCAAAAACCUGCCCCAGUUCAGAUUGGAGGCUGCAACUCGUCUCCAUGAAGCCGGAAUCGCUAGUAAUCGCGGAUCAGCCACGCCGCGGUGAAUAUGUUCCUGAGCCUUGUACACACCGCCCGUCAAGCCACGAAAGCCGGGAGUGCCCGAAGUCGUCAGCUCAACCGCAAGGAGACCUGACGCCCACGGCAAGCUCGGUGAUCGGGACUAAGUCGUAACAAGGUAGCCGUAGGGGAACCUGCGGCUGGAUCACCUCCUUUCCAGA